GAGGGUUUUUGCGCCAACUAGGUUUCCUUCCCCUUUAAACUAAUUGCUCAAAGCCUCAACUAGCUGUGUCCAGACUUGAUCUACACUAAUGCUGUCCACAUUUUAAUAAUCACCACCCCUAUGCAGAGCUUCCAUUUUCUGUAUUAAUUAUACUGGUGCAUCAGGGGUAUGUUUUGGUAGAAUGAGUGUGGUAUUUAAGGGGGUCUUCACAAAAUGCACAUAGUCAAUUUUUGAUUUUCUUAAUUUAUACGCUCUACUUAAACAGUCCCCUAGUUAUACAAUUACAUAAGUUGUGAGUGAUUUUAUGGGCUUUGCAAAUAAAUUGAUUUCCUACAAACUUGGCACCCAAUAUACAGGCUUAAGGGGUUAUGUAAUAAAAGGCACUAAGUUUGCCCAGGAGCAGUAACCCAUAGCAACCAAUCAGCAGGUAGAAUUUACCAGUCACCUGUUUAAAAGCAAACAGCUUAUUGGUUGCUAUGGGCAAAAAAUACUGAAGUUUCACAUUGACACUCAAACUGAUUACAAAUGAUAAAUAACAACAAGGGGUUGGUGGUGGUGGUGGUGGUGGGGGUAUUUGGAGUGUUCAGUAAGGUCUGGAAUGAUAAGGAGGGGAGGUACUCAUCUAUCCAAGGGUUCCAAACCCUUUCAAAUGAUUUGGGACAACCUCUAUGGAAAUAUGUUUGUUGAUACAAGGGACGAAUAACCAGUUCAGGCAUUACUUGACCUAACGUUAUCUGACCUAACAAUACAUGUAUUAAGCAUACAAAUUAGAUGUGUUAUAUUGACAUCUAGUGGCCAUUGUUAGUUGUAUUCCUUUUAGUCAUUGGUGUACCCAACCCAGCAGGACACACAGCACUGAUUUAUAUAUCUGCCCCACCUUGUACCUUCUCUGAUAUCUUAAGAGGGUGGCAGGUGAAUGUGAGAAUAUAAACAACCACCAGCUGACACUUCUGGGGUUUGGCAUGGACUAUUGAGAUCAUGGGAGUGGCUGGGUGCUGGAGAAUUCAGCCAGUGACCCUUCUCUGGAGGCAAUUGGUUGUCUGAAUCAAUCCAAAUUGUGGCUAAAUCUGAGGGUCUUGCAGUUCCCAUGCUGACCCAAACAUCACUAAUUCCUUUCAUAACAGUGUUGUUCCUUCAUAAGGACAUUUUUUAAUGAACUUUAAAAUGUAUAGUAAGUCAUUUUGUAAAACAUUUGCCAUAACCUCUGCAAUUUAAAGUUAAGUAGAAGUUUUGACAAGCAGGGCAAAAUUAUGGCAGUGCAAAACUUUAAAGUUUGAGCAAUGUAUCAAAAAGUUGUCACGGCAAAAGUUGCAGUGAAAAAACAACUUUAGACAACAACGUAGUUUGUGCUUAAAUAUAGUAUCUGCUGAGAAAAAUUCACAUGGUCUUAAAUACGUUCUGUCCAUUUUUGGUGUUUCACAAUUUUUUCUGCAGUUUCACAAUUUGUUACAGGUUAUCGCAAGUGGGGGAUGCAGGUAUUAGCACUGGACUAGCCACAAACCAGUUAAGUAAUCCAGAAACAAUUGAAGAGCCAAUACCUUGAAUGCAGCAAACAUGGUGAACCCAAAUUUAUUACGUGGUGCUCCAGACACUUUACACACGUUCAAAGGUUUCAGGACCACAUGUCCCUUCCUCAGUGACUAAAUGCCUAAUAUUUCUAUUUGAUAAUCCUAUGUAUGCAUGAUUCCUAAAUUCUCAUGACUAUGCAGUUUCCACAUCUACACCACAGUGUUGUGCCAAGGCGUUGCUUUAAAUUCUUUGUAGACAUAGAUCACAAAGCAUAUUCCAUACUGGUUCAUUUAUAAAGCAUGGUGGGUUGUCUUGCCCUUGGAAUUGCUAUAUAACAAUUAGGCAUCUUAUCUGCCCAUGUAUGGGACGUUCCGUCAGGUCUCCCUGAACAAUUUCCGGCCAAAAAUCUGGCAGUUAUUGAUUAGGCAGCUUUACUUUUUUUUCCCCAUUUCCUUCAUUGUAAUCUGAUCGUUUGUCCCUAGGGCCAAACAAUCAGAUUAACCCGAUAUCGCCCUGACUUUGGUGGGCAUAUCAAGUUAAGAUCUGCUCUUUUGGAGACCUUGCAAAGUGGCUCUUGUUAACCUUGACUGGGAUAGGGACCUUAGGUUAUAAGAUCCAAUGGAGCAGAAACUGAUGUAAAUAAUUUAUAACCUCUGAAAAACGCUGCAGAAUAUGUUGACGCUAGAUAGAUAUAUAGAUGUGGGCAGGGGCAUAACUAGGGUGCACCGGAAAAAAAAUCCUCAGAGGGGCCCAGCACACUCCGAUCCCCAGCCUCCCACCUCCGCCCACUUCCUGCCUCUGCCUACUUCCCACCCUGAUUCCAUCCACUCUCUGUCGGACUUCACCACGUGUCUCUGCUUCCCCGCUGCAGGUCCUGUGCAUGGGAGCAGAACAGAAUGACUUACCACUUGAGUAUUGGAAGAUGCUGCAAGACAUAGAAACCAACAACUUCUCUGGCCAUAUUCCUAUCAUGGACCAGCUAAAAGAUGCAACUGAGAAACUGCAAAGUGCUUUGUAUCAGUAAUGGAAAUGAAGAGAAACUGAACUUACUGUCAGCCUCUGACCUGUUGUGAAAGAGACUGGACAACAAUUGUAAAACAAGCGACUUCCUUCAGGGACUGGGUGGUUCAUUUGAUCUUUAUUUGCUUGGAAAUCAAAAAGAAUCAUUAUACAUCAUUUUAUUGAUAGGUUUCCCCUCUGGGGACACUAGAGGGGGUCAUUUAUCAGUCAUGGUGCAGUUGCAGAAAUUGUGCACCCUGUAUCGUGGGUGAGCAAGCACACCUGCACUUUCUGCAGAAAUACAGCACUCACUAUAUAACAGCAGUUUUUUAUAUAAUUCAUUCUCUAAGUAACUUUACACAUACGUAACUGCGUCUGUUAUGGAUGUUAUUUAUUUGUGAGACAGAUUGCUGUUUAAAAUGUACAGAAUAUAACAGAAUGUACAGUAAUAUAAUGGUAUCCUUUUGUGUUCUCAUACUUUAAUAGAAAUAAAUAUUUUGUGUAUUUGU
This is a long non-coding RNA of Xenopus laevis (African clawed frog), 3017 nucleotides long. RefSeq lists it as uncharacterized. The transcript is spliced from 2 exons. Lineage: Eukaryota; Metazoa; Chordata; Amphibia; Anura; Pipidae. The record is from RefSeq and is a predicted model, not a curated record.